UGCCGGCUCUCCAAAGGCCGGGGUCACUGAAGAGGCAACUACUUCCUUGCCGGACGUGCGGAUCGGGUUUCCCGUUCCAAUCCAUGGCAGCAACGACCGAAUGCUUCGCAUUCGGGCUCGUCGGGGUCCAGUCCCGACAAGUCCGGACGCUGAGGCAGUCGGGCCAUCGU
Molecule: regulatory RNA element, 170 nt
Rfam family: speF leader
About the family: This family is a putative regulatory RNA structure that is found upstream of the speF gene encoding ornithine decarboxylase in Agrobacterium tumefaciens and other alpha-proteobacteria.
Source: Rfam